GACGAACGCUGGCGGCGUGCUUAACACAUGCAAGUCGUACGGUAAGGCCCUUUCGGGGGUACACGAGUGGCGCACGGGUGAGUAACACGUGAGUAACCUGCCCACAACUUUGGGAUAACGCUAGGAAACUGGUGCUAAUACUGGAUAUGUGCUCCUGCUUCAUGGUGGGGGUUGGAAAGCUCCGGCGGUUGUGGAUGGACUCGCGGCCUAUCAGCUUGUUGGUGGGGUAGUGGCCUACCAAGGCGGCGACGGGUAGCCGGCCUGAGAGGGUGACCGGCCACACUGGGACUGAGAUAAGGCACAGACUCCUACGGGAGGCAGAAGUGGGGAAUAUUGCACAAUGGGCGCAAGCCUGAUGCAGCAACGCCGCGUGCGGGAUGACGGCCUUCGGGUUGUAAACCGCUUUCAGCAGGGACGAAGCUUUUUGUGACGGUACCUGAAGAAGAAGCACCGGCUAACUACGUG
RNAcentral lists this ribosomal RNA (465 nucleotides) under uncultured bacterium. Its description in RNAcentral is "partial 16S ribosomal RNA". It matches the Rfam family "Bacterial small subunit ribosomal RNA", at positions 28 to 507 of the family's 1533-position model. The record is from RNAcentral.